This 275-nucleotide long non-coding RNA is filed under the name Vigna radiata. RNAcentral's name for it is "long non-coding RNA (VRAD_LNC006619)". The record is from RNAcentral. Lineage: Eukaryota; Viridiplantae; Streptophyta; Magnoliopsida; Fabales; Fabaceae.
UUUCCCUUUCACUCUUUGUUUUCCAUCUUCUUCUCUUUCGUAUCUUCUCUGGCUCUUCAUCNGUGAGAAGAGAUCUUCUUUGAUCAACUACAGAUCUACCCAGGGAAGGCGAUCUCCUUCCUCGUUCUUGCGCUUGUUGAAAGAGCUUCUUCUCUUCGAGCAAAGUUUCCCUCACCUACUCUCUGACNAGACUGAAGCUUCUAGUCGAAGCUUUAUUUUUCCGCUGCAUCCACCAGAGAGAUAUUGGGUCAGAGACUUUUAUUGGGCUUUUAUUU